GCGGGAGGAGCGGCCGUGAGGGUGCGCGGGGCGGGCGGCGCUGCUGCCGGCGGGACAGCGAGAGGGACCGAGUGCUCCUGUUCUUCUUUGCAUGAACUGUCUUGAUAGGAAAGCCUCUAGAAGGGUUUCAGUCCUAGGGUUAUCUCCUCCCUGAAGCAAUUACAACCUUCAGCUUUUUAGGAGCCAAACCCAAAUUUGUCUCUUCAGCUCUUCAGUCUGCUGAGUGAAAGUAUGUUUGCCUCGAGUUAACUGAGAAAUCAAGGACUCCUUCUCCUCCAGUUGCCGAAUGCCUUUUGAGUUCCUCAAUCUGUUGUGUGAAAGCCUGUUUGCCUCUUGACAGCUGAGAAAUGAGGGCAUCUUUCUCAUCCACCUGGCGUGAAUAUUCACCUGGGAGUGUUCAGACUCUGCACUCUUCAGCAAGGGCUUAAUCUUGAAGAACAGCUUCAUCCAUGGCCAGUGUUUGACAUUCAUAAAUGAACGAACGUUGUACUGGAUGCAGAAGAUGGAUUCUCUGAAAGGUAGCCCCUACACAUGGCCUGGGUGCGGGUGAUGAGCUGUGCCAGCUUCUCAUCCCUCAUCUCCUCCAGGAGUCCCAGCAGCCCAGCUUUGAAGAACACCUUGAGAGAGAGAAUGUUGCAGCACAUCACUGUCAGCUAUAGAACAAACCUGGAUGACUCACUUGGAAAAUUUUGUGUACCUAAAGAAUGAUUAUUCUACAGUACCCGGAAGAGAGCCGAGACGGUCUGGAAAGAAGAACCCUUCUUCUUGGCACCCUUCUUGCCACCACCACCACUGCUUUCUAAAAAGUUCCCAUAGUGCAUGACAGCCCCUGUCAGCUUGUAGAUGGCUGUUUUCUCAUCAGCAGUGAAGCCCAGGAUGUCAAUGGCACUCUAACAAAACAGUUGUUAAGAUCUGGCAAGGAUGGUAGGACACAGUCAAGAACAAGAAGUGGGGAAGGCUGGAAGGAAGGGGAUUAAGCCAGAGGGUGUCUUACAUGUUUCAAUGUCAGCAGAAGCCAGUUUGCCUGUGGCACCGAAAUGGAUUCUGAUGAAUUUACCCUGAAAGCAGCAGGAAAGUCAAUUGAGACUUAUUUUACCAAUCUGGAUAUCAAUAAUAUUCAAACUGGUGUUGACAGUUGUCACAAGUAACAACUUACAAAGCGUGAGGAGUUGUCGUUCCUCACGGUCUUGGCAUUUCCAAAGGCCUCCAGCAGUGGGUUGGCACUGAUGAUUUGAUCCUCAAGUGUCCCCUGAAACAGAAGUCUUCUUGUCACGAUCUAGCUCAUCAAGAAAUUGUGUAGCUGCUGGUGUUUAGUCCUGGGACCUCACCUGCAUUUUGCCUGAUGGCUGCUGCUCCUCUUUCUUCUUGUCUCCACUGGCUGCAAUUGUUGCAAAGUACUGGAUGACACGCUUUGUGUUCACAGUCUUCCCGGCCCCGGAUUCUCCGCUGCCAAAGCCAAGAGAGAAGCAGAGGGUGCAUGGUCAGGCAGGAGGUGCCCUGGCACCAGGCAGCCCUGCAGGGACCCGCACAGGGGGUGUACGUACGUGAUCAGGAUGGACUGGUUCUCCCGAUCUGUGAAGAGACAGAAACAAAUGGACUUUGCAAAUGAAGAACACAGAAGGACUGAAAAUGAAUGUUCUAUCAAGACAAAGCAGAACAGUUGUGGCCUGAUGCUUAGGAUGAGAACUACUCACCAGUCAGCAUGAACUGAUAGGCGUUGUCAGAGAUGGAGAAGAUGUGUGGAGGGGCCUCCUGGCGCUUCUUGCCUCGUCUUGACAGUGAUUUUUCCUGGUUCCCUGCUCGUGAUUGUGCUCUUCACGUAGGACUCCUUUGCAUGUACCACAAAGACAGAUGACUUGGCAUCAAAAGGUUUAUUCUGGGCCUCAAUUCUCUCCUUCUCUGACUUUCGGAGUCCCAGCAUAGGAAGGACAUGGAGCUGUUGGAGUGA
Molecule: long non-coding RNA, 1948 nt
Organism: Catharus ustulatus (Swainson's thrush)
Lineage: Eukaryota; Metazoa; Chordata; Aves; Passeriformes; Turdidae
Exons: 13
Source: RefSeq, a predicted model, not a curated record